This 253-nucleotide ribosomal RNA is filed under the name uncultured bacterium. RNAcentral's name for it is "partial 16S ribosomal RNA". It matches the Rfam family "Bacterial small subunit ribosomal RNA", at positions 524 to 776 of the family's 1533-position model. The record is from RNAcentral.
UACGGAGGGUGCAAGCGUUAUCCGGAUUUAUUGGGUUUAAAGGGUCCGUAGGAGGGCUGAUAAGUCAGUGGUGAAAUCCUAUCGCUUAACGAUAGAACUGCCAUUGAAACUGCCAGUCUUGAGUGUUGUUGAAGUAGCUGGAAUAGGUAGUGUAGCAGUGAGAUGCAUAGAUAUUACCUAGAACACCAAUUGCGAGGGCAGGUUACUAAGCGACAACUGACGCUGAUGGACGAAAGCGUGGGGAGCGAACAGG